This 149-nucleotide small nuclear RNA is filed under the name Peromyscus maniculatus bairdii (prairie deer mouse). Its description in RNAcentral is "U12 minor spliceosomal RNA (ENSPEMG00000002721.2)". Lineage: Eukaryota; Metazoa; Chordata; Mammalia; Rodentia; Cricetidae. The record is from RNAcentral.
AUGCCCUAAACUUAGGAGUACAAAAGUACUGAUUCACCAUGGUGCCAGAGUUCUCGAUGCUUAUGUGGGAUGAAGUUUUGAGCAAGUAAAAGGUUGCCUCUUAGGUGACCCAACUACUUCUGGGGACACCUGGCUUUGUGACCCUCCAG